This 2684-nucleotide ribosomal RNA is filed under the name Escherichia coli 3-020-07_S4_C3. RNAcentral describes it as "bacterial LSU rRNA". It matches the Rfam family "Bacterial large subunit ribosomal RNA". Lineage: Bacteria; Pseudomonadati; Pseudomonadota; Gammaproteobacteria; Enterobacterales; Enterobacteriaceae. The record is from RNAcentral.
AGAAAUCAACCGAGAUUCCCCCAGUAGCGGCGAGCGAACGGGGAGCAGCCCAGAGCCUGAAUCAGUGUGUGUGUUAGUGGAAGCGUCUGGAAAGGCGUGCGAUACAGGGUGACAGCCCCGUACACAAAAAUGCACAUAUUGUGAGCUCGAUGAGUAGGGCGGGACACGUGGUAUCCUGUCUGAAUAUGGGGGGACCAUCCUCCAAGGCUAAAUACUCCUGACUGACCGAUAGUGAACCAGUACCGUGAGGGAAAGGCGAAAAGAACCCCGGCGAGGGGAGUGAAAAAGAACCUGAAACCGUGUACGUACAAGCAGUGGGAGCACGCUUAGGCGUGUGACUGCGUACCUUUUGUAUAAUGGGUCAGCGACUUAUAUUCUGUAGCAAGGUUAACCGAAUAGGGGAGCCGAAGGGAAACCGAGUCUUAACUGGGCGUUAAGUUGCAGGGUAUAGACCCGAAACCCGGUGAUCUAGCCAUGGGCAGGUUGAAGGUUGGGUAACACUAACUGGAGGACCGAACCGACUAAUGUUGAAAAAUUAGCGGAUGACUUGUGGCUGGGGGUGAAAGGCCAAUCAAACCGGGAGAUAGCUGGUUCUCCCCGAAAGCUAUUUAGGUAGCGCCUCGUGAAUUCAUCUCCGGGGGUAGAGCACUGUUUCGGCAAGGGGGUCAUCCCGACUUACCAACCCGAUGCAAACUGCGAAUACCGGAGAAUGUUAUCACGGGAGACACACGGCGGGUGCUAACGUCCGUCGUGAAGAGGGAAACAACCCAGACCGCCAGCUAAGGUCCCAAAGUCAUGGUUAAGUGGGAAACGAUGUGGGAAGGCCCAGACAGCCAGGAUGUUGGCUUAGAAGCAGCCAUCAUUUAAAGAAAGCGUAAUAGCUCACUGGUCGAGUCGGCCUGCGCGGAAGAUGUAACGGGGCUAAACCAUGCACCGAAGCUGCGGCAGCGACACUGUGUGUUGUUGGGUAGGGGAGCGUUCUGUAAGCCUGCGAAGGUGUGCUGUGAGGCAUGCUGGAGGUAUCAGAAGUGCGAAUGCUGACAUAAGUAACGAUAAAGCGGGUGAAAAGCCCGCUCGCCGGAAGACCAAGGGUUCCUGUCCAACGUUAAUCGGGGCAGGGUGAGUCGACCCCUAAGGCGAGGCCGAAAGGCGUAGUCGAUGGGAAACAGGUUAAUAUUCCUGUACUUGGUGUUACUGCGAAGGGGGGACGGAGAAGGCUAUGUUGGCCGGGCGACGGUUGUCCCGGUUUAAGCGUGUAGGCUGGUUUUCCAGGCAAAUCCGGAAAAUCAAGGCUGAGGCGUGAUGACGAGGCACUACGGUGCUGAAGCAACAAAUGCCCUGCUUCCAGGAAAAGCCUCUAAGCAUCAGGUAACAUCAAAUCGUACCCCAAACCGACACAGGUGGUCAGGUAGAGAAUACCAAGGCGCUUGAGAGAACUCGGGUGAAGGAACUAGGCAAAAUGGUGCCGUAACUUCGGGAGAAGGCACGCUGAUAUGUAGGUGAAGUCCCUCGCGGAUGGAGCUGAAAUCAGUCGAAGAUACCAGCUGGCUGCAACUGUUUAUUAAAAACACAGCACUGUGCAAACACGAAAGUGGACGUAUACGGUGUGACGCCUGCCCGGUGCCGGAAGGUUAAUUGAUGGGGUCAGCGCAAGCGAAGCUCUUGAUCGAAGCCCCGGUAAACGGCGGCCGUAACUAUAACGGUCCUAAGGUAGCGAAAUUCCUUGUCGGGUAAGUUCCGACCUGCACGAAUGGCGUAAUGAUGGCCAGGCUGUCUCCACCCGAGACUCAGUGAAAUUGAACUCGCUGUGAAGAUGCAGUGUACCCGCGGCAAGACGGAAAGACCCCGUGAACCUUUACUAUAGCUUGACACUGAACAUUGAGCCUUGAUGUGUAGGAUAGGUGGGAGGCUUUGAAGUGUGGACGCCAGUCUGCAUGGAGCCGACCUUGAAAUACCACCCUUUAAUGUUUGAUGUUCUAACGUGGACCCGUGAUCCGGGUUGCGGACAGUGUCUGGUGGGUAGUUUGACUGGGGCGGUCUCCUCCUAAAGAGUAACGGAGGAGCACGAAGGUUGGCUAAUCCUGGUCGGACAUCAGGAGGUUAGUGCAAUGGCAUAAGCCAGCUUGACUGCGAGCGUGACGGCGCGAGCAGGUGCGAAAGCAGGUCAUAGUGAUCCGGUGGUUCUGAAUGGAAGGGCCAUCGCUCAACGGAUAAAAGGUACUCCGGGGAUAACAGGCUGAUACCGCCCAAGAGUUCAUAUCGACGGCGGUGUUUGGCACCUCGAUGUCGGCUCAUCACAUCCUGGGGCUGAAGUAGGUCCCAAGGGUAUGGCUGUUCGCCAUUUAAAGUGGUACGCGAGCUGGGUUUAGAACGUCGUGAGACAGUUCGGUCCCUAUCUGCCGUGGGCGCUGGAGAACUGAGGGGGGCUGCUCCUAGUACGAGAGGACCGGAGUGGACGCAUCACUGGUGUUCGGGUUGUCAUGCCAAUGGCACUGCCCGGUAGCUAAAUGCGGAAGAGAUAAGUGCUGAAAGCAUCUAAGCACGAAACUUGCCCCGAGAUGAGUUCUCCCUGACUCCUUGAGAGUCCUGAAGGAACGUUGAAGACGACGACGUUGAUAGGCCGGGUGUGUAAGCGCAGCGAUGCGUUGAGCUAACCGGUACUAAUGAACCGUGAGGCUUAACCU